RNAcentral lists this transfer RNA (83 nucleotides) under Cytobacillus firmus. RNAcentral describes it as "Bacillus firmus tRNA-Arg". RNAcentral also lists the same sequence under 1 other name. Lineage: Bacteria; Bacillati; Bacillota; Bacilli; Caryophanales; Bacillaceae. The record is from RNAcentral.
GUUCUAAUGGUAAAGUUAAUUAAUGACAGAUUAUAGACUGCCUCCUAAGCUGUAGGUCGUGAGUUCGAAUCUCGCCUGGGACG